Molecule: ribosomal RNA, 826 nt
Filed under: Cantharellus formosus
Lineage: Eukaryota; Fungi; Basidiomycota; Agaricomycetes; Cantharellales; Hydnaceae
Description: eukaryotic LSU rRNA
Rfam family: Eukaryotic large subunit ribosomal RNA
Source: RNAcentral
GAGUGAAGAGGGAAGAGCUCAUCAUUGGAAUCUGGCAGUGUUUUCACUGUCCGAGUUGUAGAUGAGGAGUAGUCCAUCUGGACUGCAUGGCGUCCAAGUACAAUAGGCCGUCAGUGGGACAUCAUAGAGGGUGACAAUCCCGUCCUUGAUGCCAAUGUGCAAGUCCGUUACGAUGGCUAUCUCAGAGAGUCGAGCAGUUUGGGAUUUGCUGCUUAAACAUGGGAGGUAGAUUCCUUCUAAAGCUAAAUACAGGCGAGAGACCGAUAGAGAACAAGUACCGCAAGGGAAAGAUGAAAUAGCACUCUGUGAAGGGAGUCAAAAGACGUGAAAUUGUUGCGAGAGAAGCGAUUCAAGUCAGCGUAGCUAGGCCCAUCAAGCCUCUUGCUUUGGACUAGCUUUGCCAGCGGUCUUGUCCUAAGAGACUUGACUUGUUAAUAUGUCCAGCCUGGUAUGCACAGGUAGCCCCAUCGGGGCCAGUGACAUGGCUGGUGGAAUGGCUUGCAAUCGACCCGUCUUGAAACACGGACCAAGGAGUCUAACAUGUAUGCGAGUAUAAGGGUGGCAAACCCGUAUGCGCAAUGAAAGUGAUUUUCGGUGAUUGAGAAUGGCCUGAUGACCAGACAAGCAAUAUUAUGUCCCUCGUACGGCCAUUGCCCAAGUUCCGUGGUAGAUCCCACGAACAUGGAGUUGGAGCAUACAUGCUAGGACCCGAAAGAUGGUGAACUAUGCCUGGACAAAGCGAAGCCAAAGGAAACUCUGGUGGAGGCUUGUAGCGAUUCUGACGUGCAAAUCGAUCGUCUGAUCUGGGUAUAGGGGCGAAAGACUA